Molecule: transfer RNA, 85 nt
Filed under: hydrothermal vent metagenome
Description: tRNA-Ser-GGA
Rfam family: tRNA
About the family: Transfer RNA (tRNA) molecules are approximately 80 nucleotides in length.
Source: RNAcentral
UGGGAGGUGUCCGAGUGGUCGAAGGAGCACGACUGGAACUCGUGUAAGUGUAACAGCUUCGAGGGUUCGAAUCCCUUCCUCCCAG